Molecule: ribosomal RNA, 509 nt
Filed under: uncultured bacterium
Lineage: Bacteria
Description: bacterial SSU rRNA
Rfam family: Bacterial small subunit ribosomal RNA
Source: RNAcentral
AACGAACGCUGGCGGCGUGCCUAACACAUGCAAGUCGUGCGAGAAAGUUCCUUCGGGAGCGAGUAAAGCGGCGCACGGGUGAGUAACACGUAGGUAACCUGCCCCCCAGUCUGGAACAACUAGAGGAAACUCUAGCUAAUGCCGGAUGAGACCACGAUCCCUUCGGGGUUGGCGGCCAAAGAUGGCCUCUACUUGUAAGCUAUCGCUGAGGGAUGGGCCUGCGGGCCAUUAGCUUGUUGGUGAGGUAACGGCUCACCAAGGCUUCGACGGGUAGCUGGUCUGAGAGGACGAUCAGCCACACUGGCACUGCGACACGGGCCAGACUCCUACGGGAGGCAGCAGUAAGGAAUAUUGCGCAAUGGACGAAAGUCUGACGCAGCGACGCCGCGUGGGGGAUGAAGAUCUUCGGAUUGUAAACCCCUUUCGGGAGGGAAGAUGGAGUGGGUAACCACUUGGACGGUACCUCCAGAAGCAGCCACGGCUAACUUCGUGCCAGCAGCCGCGGUAAU